Non-coding RNA from Mesocestoides corti, 114 nucleotides. Lineage: Eukaryota; Metazoa; Platyhelminthes; Cestoda; Cyclophyllidea; Mesocestoididae. The record is from Rfam.
GUCGGAUAUGGAGACAUGCGGCCAGUAACCGUGGGCGGCAAACUAGUUGGUUCGUUAUGCGCGAUUGCUGGUGUUCUGACCAUCGCUCUUCCUGUCCCUGUUAUUGUAUCAAAC